RNAcentral lists this ribosomal RNA (195 nucleotides) under uncultured eukaryote. RNAcentral describes it as "partial 18S ribosomal RNA". It matches the Rfam family "Eukaryotic small subunit ribosomal RNA", at positions 1299 to 1458 of the family's 1831-position model. The record is from RNAcentral.
UGGUGGAGUGAUUUGUCUGGUUAAUUCCGUUAACGAACGAGACCUCAGCCUGCUAACUAGUCGUGGUGCCAAUGUGGACAAGGGCUGUUGGCGAGGGGGGCCCUUCUGGGUUCCUUUCGUCGGUGGCUCUAGAUUGGGCCGACUUCUUAGAGGGACUGUCGGUGUUUAGCUGUACGGAAGUUUGAGGCAAUAACA